Molecule: RNA transcript, 2014 nt
Organism: Brassica rapa (field mustard)
Lineage: Eukaryota; Viridiplantae; Streptophyta; Magnoliopsida; Brassicales; Brassicaceae
Gene name: protein PTST homolog 2, chloroplastic
Source: RefSeq, a predicted model, not a curated record
AUUUGAUUAACGUCCGAAUAAAGCAUACUCCUUUAAUGUUUUUUCAGAUUGAAAAGCUUUGGUUCUUGUGCGGUCACAUGACUUCUUCUUCUUCUCGUACUUUCUUGUUUUUCUUUUCCUUAUUUGAAACAGAUAGAAUUUGGCAAAUCUAAUUCACUACUAGAAAGUACGGUUUCUUCUUAGCACCUCUCCUCUUUGAUAUGAGGACCGCUUGAUAGAGAAGCGCACAGAAACUGUUCGACGAAAUGCUCCAAAGAUGGUCUCUCUCAACUCAGGCCCCGUUUCUUCUUUUGCUUAUAUGAAUUCGCUGAUUGAUUCCGAUACCCUUUUGCCUCUAUCUUCUUUCUCUGCCUUCAAUCCCAUUUGUUCGGGGAAAUUGAGUCUCUUAGCUGAUGGGAAAAGUUGUGGGCCUGUUCAAUGGUUUCUUGAGGUCAAGCUGAGGAAGAAAGGUUGUUGCUUUAGGCGCAGUGGGGUUCUGAGGAUGUGCAAUAACCAAGAUUUGGGAUGGGAUAGCGAUAAGGAUCUGGAAACUGAGAUUUUGGAGUUCAUGAAGAAUUCUGAGAAACCUGGCAUGUUUCCGAGCAAGAAGGAUUUAAUCAGGUCCGAAAGAUUUGAUCUUGUGGAGAGAAUCGUAAACCAAGGUGGGUGGCUUUCAAUGGGAUGGGACUUGGAUGAACAACAAGAAGAGGAGGUCCGAGUAAAAGAGAAGAACGUCGUGCUAGGGGACUUGCCUAUUGAGAAACAGCUUCAUAAUCUUUCCUCGAAUGCUUCAUCUUCAAGAGAAGAAGUAGAUGGUAAGAAUGAGAGUGGAAUUGAAGGCAUUUUGACCAGAUUGGAGAAAGAAAGGAAUUUGAGUCUAGGGAUAAACUUGAGUGGGAAAGGAGAAAGCAAUGGUGCCAUGUAUGAUGAUAUCACCCUAAAUGGUUCCCUUCCUCGUUCUUCAAUUAUUGUGACAGCUAGUGAGUUUCAAGAAGUCGACGGUAGUAGAAGUUCAGGGGAAUAUGGACAAAGUAGGUAUCAAGAAGCCAAGCCAGUUUCAGGAAACAAUUCGUCUACAUCAGAAACGUGGAGAACAUGGAGUAUGAGGAGAGCUGGCUUUACUGAUGAAGAUUUUGAAGCUGCUGAAAUAUCUUCAAGUAGCUUGGUUGGUCUAAAGAAGGAUGAUACGAAUAAGGAUUCAAACGGAAAAGACAAAACUGCAUCUUACUCUGAAGAUAUAAAUACAACUCAUAUCAAAAGCCGUCUUCAGAAUCUCCAGUCAGAACUUUCUUCUGUUCUUCAAUCCCUUAGGUCUCCUCCUGAUGAAGUUGUAACAAGCAAGGAUAGUGAGAUAAAAUCUGGAAACUUGGAGAACCUCAAUGAUGAUUGGGAGUUCAAAGAGAAUGAAAUCAUAUAUGCCCAGAACAAGCUACGGUCUACGAGGGCAAAGCUAGCUGUUCUCGAAGGAAAGAUGUCUAUGGCUAUAAUAGACGCACAGAGGAUUGUAAGGGAGAAACAGAGAAAAAUAGAUCAUGCAAGGAGAGCUUUACGGUUACUCCGGACUGCAUCCAUAGUAUGGCCUAACUCAGCCUCGGAAGUUUUACUAACGGGUUCAUUUGACGGUUGGUCAACUCAGUAGAGGAAAAUGAAGAAAGCACAGAACGGAGUCUUCUCUUUGUCGCUGAAGCUAUAUCCUGGAAAAUACCAGAUAAAGUUUGUAGUUGAUGGCCAGUGGAAAGUGGACCCGCUUCGACCCAUUGUUACUUGUGAUGGAUAUGAAAACAAUCUGCUCAUCAUCUCGUGAGGUCAUUGCUAAUCCCACCAUCCAUGGAGCAUUGAACUGAAUCAUUAGGGUUUUAGUUUCUUUUGUAAUUUUCACUUUCAAGUAGAGCAAGGUAGCCAGGGAAAGCAGUAGAGCUGUAGGUUUUUUAAUCUUGAAAAAACAAGAAAGUAAGAAAAAAAUCUAUAUAUCUCAAUUUUCAUCAUUGUAAUGACUAUUCCUCUGACGAGAAUAAUGCAAACAAUUGACUUCUCA